UCAACUUCAGUAGCUGCAUGUACUUCAUCCGGAAAUAUUACAGCAUCUUGAUAUUCAUACUUCAUCCACAUAACUUGGACUGCAUGGACUGCUCCUUGACUGUUCAUAUGCUGCAUGCAUGCCAACUUCAACAGAUGUAUUGUCAAUAAGCAACAUAAAGAUCCAUUUUCGAAAGGAAAAACACAAAGAGCAAGAGAGCUGUUGGAGAUUGUACACUCUGACCUCUGCG
This 229-nucleotide long non-coding RNA is filed under the name Gossypium barbadense (sea-island cotton). RNAcentral's name for it is "long non-coding RNA (GBAR_LNC009741)". Lineage: Eukaryota; Viridiplantae; Streptophyta; Magnoliopsida; Malvales; Malvaceae. The record is from RNAcentral.